CGGGGGGGGCAAGCGUUGUUCGGAAUUACUGGGCGUAAAGGGCUCGUAAGCGGCCAACUAAGUCGGACGUGAAAUCCCCAGGCUCAACCUGGGAACUGCGUCCGAUACUGGAUGGCUUGAAUCCGGGAGAGGGAUGCAGAAUUCCAGGUGUAGCGGUGAAAUGCGUAGAUAUCUGGAGGAAUACCGGUGGCGAAGGCGGCAUCCUGGACCGGCAUUGACGCUGAGGAGCGAAAGCCAGGGGAGCAAACGGGAUUAGAUACCCCGGUAGUCCUGGCCCUAAACGAUGAAUGCUUGGUGUAACGGGUAUCGAUCCCUGUUGUGCCAAAGCUAACGCAUUAAGCAUUCCGCCUGGGGAGUACGGUCGCAAGGCUG
Molecule: ribosomal RNA, 372 nt
Filed under: uncultured organism
Description: bacterial SSU rRNA
Rfam family: Bacterial small subunit ribosomal RNA
Source: RNAcentral